This 488-nucleotide ribosomal RNA is filed under the name uncultured Anaerolineaceae bacterium. RNAcentral describes it as "bacterial SSU rRNA". It matches the Rfam family "Bacterial small subunit ribosomal RNA", at positions 904 to 1382 of the family's 1533-position model. The record is from RNAcentral. Lineage: Bacteria; Bacillati; Chloroflexota; Anaerolineae; Anaerolineales; Anaerolineaceae.
UUCGCCACGCCCGCUCAAGUAAACUAAGGAAUGGACGGGACCCGCACAAGCAGCGGAGCGUGUGGUUUAAUCGAUGCUACACGAAGAACCUUACCAAGGUUUGACAUGUAAGUGGUAGUGAUCUGAAAAGUGAACGACCCUUCGGGGAGCUUACACAGGUGCUGCAUGGCUGUCGUCAGCUCGUGUCGUGAGAUGUUCGGUUAAGUCCGCUAACGAGCGCAACCCUCACUGUGUGUUACAUGUGUCACACGGGACUGCCGGUUUUAAGCCGGAGGAAGGCGAGGAUGACGUCAAGUCAGCAUGGCCUUUAUAUCUUGGGCUACACACACGCUACAAUGGUCUGUACAAUAGGUUGCCAAGCCGCGAGGCGGAGCCAAUCCUUAAAGCAGGCCUCAGUUCAGAUUGCAGGCUGCAACCCGCCUGCAUGAAGAUGGAGUUGCUAGUAACCGCAGGUCAGCUAUACUGCGGUGAAUACGUUCCCGGGUCUU